This 650-nucleotide ribosomal RNA is filed under the name Pseudomonas putida. Its description in RNAcentral is "bacterial SSU rRNA". It matches the Rfam family "Bacterial small subunit ribosomal RNA", at positions 65 to 710 of the family's 1533-position model. Lineage: Bacteria; Pseudomonadati; Pseudomonadota; Gammaproteobacteria; Pseudomonadales; Pseudomonadaceae. The record is from RNAcentral.
AGCGGAUGACGGGAGCUUGCUCCUUGAUUCAGCGGCGGACGGGUGAGUAAUGCCUAGGAAUCUGCCUGGUAGUGGGGGACAACGUUUCGAAAGGAACGCUAAUACCGCAUACGUCCUACGGGAGAAAGCAGGGGACCUUCGGGCCUUGCGCUAUCAGAUGAGCCUAGGUCGGAUUAGCUAGUUGGUGGGGUAAUGGCUCACCAAGGCGACGAUCCGUAACUGGUCUGAGAGGAUGAUCAGUCACACUGGAACUGAGACACGGUCCAGACUCCUACGGGAGGCAGCAGUGGGGAAUAUUGGACAAUGGGCGAAAGCCUGAUCCAGCCAUGCCGCGUGUGUGAAGAAGGUCUUCGGAUUGUAAAGCACUUUAAGUUGGGAGGAAGGGCAGUAAGUUAAUACCUUGCUGUUUUGACGUUACCGACAGAAUAAGCACCGGCUAACUCUGUGCCAGCAGCCGCGGUAAUACAGAGGGUGCAAGCGUUAAUCGGAAUUACUGGGCGUAAAGCGCGCGUAGGUGGUUUGUUAAGUUGGAUGUGAAAGCCCCGGGCUCAACCUGGGAACUGCAUCCAAAACUGGCAAGCUAGAGUACGGUAGAGGGUGGUGGAAUUUCCUGUGUAGCGGUGAAAUGCGUAGAUAUAGGAAGGAACACC